RNAcentral lists this long non-coding RNA (391 nucleotides) under Mytilus galloprovincialis (Mediterranean mussel). The record is from RNAcentral. Lineage: Eukaryota; Metazoa; Mollusca; Bivalvia; Mytilida; Mytilidae.
CGGCACUUUGUAACUAAAACAGGGGUGUGUUUUUUUCACAUGUCGCACCGUAUCUCAAAAACGAUUCUUGAUUAUGGCUUAAAACUUUAAGCACUUCUUAGUUAUAUUAAUCUUAAUAUCUGUAUACUUUUUGGUGAUGAUUCAAAAUUUCAUUUUUGAGUUAUUGAGUAUUUGGUAAAAAAGGGGGAGGGGUUUUUUACAUGUCGCACCAUAUCUCAAAAACGAUUUAUGAUUAUUGCUUAAAACUUUACACAUGUCUUUGUUAUAUUAAUCUGAAGAUCUGUAUACUUUUUGGUGAUGAUUCAAAAUUUCAUUUUUGAGUUAUUGAGUAUUUUGUAAAAAAGGGGGAGGUUUUUUUUACAUGUUGUGCCGUAUCUCAAAAACAAUUUAU